Molecule: long non-coding RNA, 629 nt
Organism: Pantherophis guttatus
Lineage: Eukaryota; Metazoa; Chordata; Lepidosauria; Squamata; Colubridae
Source: RefSeq, a predicted model, not a curated record
CCUAGUAACACUGAAGCAGGGUGGGUGAAUAACUUCAGAAAAGAAUCUAGUGCACACAAUGUGACUAUGUGAGACAACCCAGGAGCAAUAACAUCAAACAGAGAAACUAUUUACUUACUUGAAGUUCCCUGCCAUUCUUUGAUCUCACCAUGAUGCUGGAGGUACAGUGCAAUUGAGUACGGAGAAUGGCAAACGAAAGUAUCCAGGCCAAAAGGAAAAGAGAAGGAAGAAGAACACAGCACAUAUAACAAAAAGAAAAGAAGAACAAGGAAAAUAGCAGAUCCUUUGCAUUUUCAGCUAUUGGAGUACAGCAGUUUGCUGAAGUUCCUUCCUCCAGUUUUAAAACAAUGCUCACUUUCUUCCAGCUUCCCUAAAUAUAUAGUCAUGUGAAAAAGAAAGAAUACCCCCUUUGAAUUCUAUGGUUUGUUUAUCAGGACAUAGUAAAAAUCAUCUGGUCCUUAGCAGUUCUUAAAAAUAGGUAAAUACAACCUCAGAUGAACAACAUAUGACAUAUUAUACCAUGUAAUCAUUUAUUUUACGAAAAGAAAGCCAAAAUGGAAAAACCAUUUUUCACAUCUGUAUAUUCAGUAUACUUAAAUAAGUAAAUAAUAAAUAAUCUACAAAACUGC